GAGCCUGGUGGCUGCUGAGAACUGCUAAUUACUCACCACUAUGGUUCAACUCCAUAGCAAGCUCA
This 65-nucleotide transfer RNA is filed under the name Leptophryne borbonica (Java tree toad). RNAcentral describes it as "tRNA-Ser". The record is from RNAcentral. Lineage: Eukaryota; Metazoa; Chordata; Amphibia; Anura; Bufonidae.